AUUUGAUAGGAAUUGGAAUGAUUUUCUGUUGAAGUAUGGUCUUCUGGACAACAAGUGGCUUUUAGAGCUAUACGAAGACUGUCAUAUAUGGAUUCCAAUUUAUCUGGAUCACCACUUUUGGGCCGGGAUGAGAAACACAUAAAGGAGCAAGAGCAUGCAUGCAUUUUUAAACAAGUUCAUUACCCGGAACAACUCACUUAUCCAAUUCGUCAAACAAUAUGAUAAUUGCCUCGGAAGCAGGGAGCAAAGAGAGAGAGAAUUGGAUGCUGCAGAUUUUUACACUGUCAUACCUUGUGCAAUAAAAUCUUCCAUAGAAGCUCAGUUUCAACAUGUGUACACUCACCAAAAGUUUAGGAAAGUCCAAGCACAAUUUAGAGGAAAGAUGAAUUGCAUCACAAGGUUAACGAACUCUGCUUUAGGCUAUUCAGUAUACGAAGUUGCUGAACAAGUUUCUAGCUCAACAUUCAAUAAGUUUACAAUUACGUAUGACUUGGUAGCAGCCCAAGUGAAAUGCCAGUGCUUAUUAUUCGAGUCAAGAGGGAUAUUGUGCUGUCAAUCCUUAAGCGUGUUGAGCUUUGAACGAGUAACCAAAGUG
Non-coding RNA from Arachis ipaensis, 595 nucleotides. The record is from RefSeq and is a predicted model, not a curated record. Lineage: Eukaryota; Viridiplantae; Streptophyta; Magnoliopsida; Fabales; Fabaceae.